UAUGUACUCCCUCUGUCCCAAAAUUCUUGUCUUAGAUUUGUCUAUAAAUGAAUGUAUAUAAAUGCUAAAAUGUGACUAGAUACAUUCGUAUCUAGACAAAUUUAAGACAAUAAUUUUAGAACGGAGGAAGUAUAAU
Molecule: non-coding RNA, 136 nt
Organism: Hordeum vulgare subsp. vulgare (domesticated barley)
Lineage: Eukaryota; Viridiplantae; Streptophyta; Magnoliopsida; Poales; Poaceae
Source: Rfam